Molecule: long non-coding RNA, 350 nt
Filed under: Panax ginseng (ginseng)
Lineage: Eukaryota; Viridiplantae; Streptophyta; Magnoliopsida; Apiales; Araliaceae
Description: long non-coding RNA (PGIN_LNC016299)
Source: RNAcentral
CUUCUUCUCAUAGACUUCCUGAGCCCUUUCCUUUCUAUUCUUCUCAAGCUCCUGCAGUGAACAUCAUAUUGACUGUGAAAUUCAGUUAUAAAAAGAGACUUAGUGUACUCAAUAUCCAGCGACGAUGAAUAGUUUAAGGCCAAGCAACACAAUGGAAUCUCUUACAAAGGAAAACCACCACACGAUAUAUCUCAGAAAAACCACUUCCAGGGAUUACGUUGCCAAAUGGGGUCUGGACCUUUCCAAGAAAGGUAGAGUGGUGUAGACUAAAUUAGUAAAUGAAUGCAUAAGAAAUUCAAAAAAUAAAUAAAAUAAUCUAAUAAAAACAUAUAAAAAGUAUUACUCUUUGU